RNAcentral lists this long non-coding RNA (1885 nucleotides) under Olea europaea subsp. europaea. The record is from RNAcentral. Lineage: Eukaryota; Viridiplantae; Streptophyta; Magnoliopsida; Lamiales; Oleaceae.
AAACUUUAUCAACUUAAAUUUUAAGGUGCUACCAAUAUCAUUCCAUAAACAUACAUCCAACGGAAAUAAAAAUUGAAAACUUAAAACUUUAAUUUACUGAAUACUCAAAUGCUGAAUCAAAUAAAUGUAUUGCCAUGUAACAUGGAAUGUUAAAUGGAAAUAAAUGGAAACACAAAAUGUCCUAGAAAAAUUAUUUUUAAAUGUUUUCUUGAAAAUUUUCUUACUUGGCAACCUGCGCACUGCUCAGCUACCAUCCACGUCGACCGAUCUGACCUGAAAUGUUAAAUUUGGAGUGAGUAAUUUAUACUCAAUAGGAUACGUGCAUCCGAAACAAUGUGAUAAUUUUUAAAACAUGAGUUUAUUCCAUACCAUCAUUUCAUCAAGAGCGAUUGGUGAUCAAUUGAAUAAUCUAACAUAUUUGAGAAGACGCGAAGGAGAUUUCACAUUUCAUUUCAUAGGGACCCACAGGCCAAUUAUCAUUUCAUGAAAUAAAUCAUGUCAUAAAUUAUAAUAUUGAAAGGACGGAAGAACUUGCUCACAAUAUCCUACCUGAUUUGAAAAGUUGUAAUGGAAAAAUGCACGUGAAAAAUUCCUUUUUAAUGAUUCAUUCUCUCUGACUUGAUUAUUUAUUUUCUUUAGUAAAAAGCUUUCUGAAGUUUCUGUGAGUAUAUGCUUGGAAUACAUGAGCUUUAUAUAGAGGUGGCUAGAAUAAAAGAUAAGUUCUAUCUCAACCAAAAGACUUACUUGAUUUGUACUAUCUCAAAUAAAUCACGUGAGAGAGAAAAAGAGAGGGUAUAUGCUAUGUGACCAAGAUUUGACUAAAUCCUAAUCGGUUAGUUAUUCUAGGCAUGCAGACUUGUCCAUAACUCAAUUAAAAUUCUUCAAUCUCUUACCUAAUUUCAACAAAAGCAAUAUCUUAUUGUCAACAAAAUCGAGGACUGCUGGAAUCGGGAGCACUCGAUUUGCUUUAGGACUUGUAUGACAUAAUAUUUUCUAAAAUAAACAAUGUACAUGUAAUCGAUUAAUUAGCGGAUUCUGCUGGUUAAUUAAGAUAGUUAAUCACUUAGGAUUAUCUUUAUUUUACUCAACCAACAAAAUUUGAUUAGAUUAGCACCCCGUUUGAUCCCCAUUAAAUUCAAUUACAUUACAUUCCAUUUUUUUCUCUUCUAUUUUCAACCACACAAUCUUUCAUAAAAUAAUAUUACACGUAAAUCGAAAACUUGUCCUUCUUUUUCAACCACUCAUUUUUCUAAAAAAAUACUAUUCCCCCCAUUUUCAUUUUCAGGUAAUAGGGGUCAAAUGGGGGCUAGAUAUAUCUUCAACUUAUAGCUAAGUCAACCGCAUAUAAAAUAAUUCUAUAAUAGAUUUAUUUGAAUUUAAAAAUUCUAAUCUCAGUUCAUAUAUUAUAUACUAGAUCACGGUUUAUGAAAAACCCAACAGAACCACAUGGCACAAUAAAGGGGAACAGUUUUUAUUUGGAUUAAUGUGAACCUAAUUCAAUUGACAGAGAUUAUAGAAUAAAAAGGUUAAAUAAAAUGCACGUGUACGUAAACUAAUUUGGUUAAUUUCUUCAAACUAAAGAUAAAUGUGAUUAUACAAAUAAAAUAUUAUAAUCUUUUGCUAAUUAUCUUGAAGGAUACAUUAAAAAAAUACAUAUGAAAUAUGAUGCUUUUGCUUAACUUAUACGACCUUAUAUUUUCUUGAGCCCAACCUACAUUAUUUAAUUCGGACUACAAAAUAAGCUUAAUAUUGAUAUGCUUAUUUUCGCUCCUUUAAAAUCUAAUUAUUUGGCCCAAUUAAACUAUGAAUUUAGAACCUACUUCAUUUCAGUUUUCCAUUUUUUUAUUUUUUUAUUUUUAUAAUAUAAAAGUAUUACAUAUAAAAU